Oncorhynchus tshawytscha (Chinook salmon) is the source of this 1150-nucleotide long non-coding RNA. The record is from Ensembl. NCBI's taxonomy places the organism in Eukaryota, Metazoa, Chordata, Actinopteri, Salmoniformes, Salmonidae.
AGGAGGGUUAGCCGAGCGUUAGGAGGGUUAGCCGAGCGUUAGGAGGGUUAGCCGAGCGUUAGGAGGGUUAGCCGAGCGUUAGGAGGGUUAGCCCAGCGUUAGGAGGGUUAGCCGAGCGUUAGGAGGGUUAGCCGAACGUUAGGAGGGUUAGCCGAGCGUUAGGUGGGUUAGCCGAGCGUUAGAAGGGGUAGCUGAGCAUUACGAGGGUUAGCCGAGCGUUAGGAGGGUUAGCUGAGCGUUAAGAGGGUUAGCUGAGCGUUAAGAGGGUUAGCUGAGCGUUAAGAGGGUUAGCUGAGUGUUAAGAGGAUUAGCUGAGUGUUAGGCGGGUUAGCUGAGCGUUAGGAGGGUUAGCUGAGUGUUAGGCGGGUUAGCUGAGCGUUAGGAGGGUUAGCUGAGCGUUAGGAGGGUUAGCUGAGCGUUAGGAGGGUUAGCUGAGCGUUAGGAGGGUUAGCUGAGUGUUAGGAGGGUUAGCUGAGCGUUAGGAGGGUUAGCUGAGCGUUAGGAGGGUUAACUGAGCAUUAGGAGGGUUAGCUGAGCGUUAGAGAUGUUCAGGACGACGAGGGCUUUGCAAUCACAGUUGAUCAUGUGCAUGAUUUUAAAAAUUGUCAAACCUCAACAUAUUCAAUGUAAUAAAUCCAUCAGACAUUGCUCAUGUCCAAGGAGGACUCUGCUAAAAAUGUGUCUGUUAUUACAAAAUGGACAGGAGUGAUGUGAUAUAUGAUGAAGUUAGAUAUGAAAACAUUUGUUUAAAAAAUAAAAAAAAAUAAAAAAAAUGUACUCACCUUCAAUAUAUAAAUGAAACCCUAUCCAGACAGCAUCCAGACGAAGAACCAGAAAGCAACUGGAAACCAGAGUAUAGAGAUGCCUUCAACCAAAAGGUUGUUGUGUUCUAGCCAUGUUCUCUUGACGAGUGUGUGCAGUUCGUCUUCUGACUCCGCACAGUAAAAAGACAAUGAACGGGGAAGAGUACAAAUCAACCAAACCACAGGUCACUCACAGCUUCCUCUUUUCAGCUUCUCUGUGCCAUUUUAUCUGAGGACAAAGUGGCACACUCAUGUACAGCCACACAAGCCUUGCUCCAAUAUUACACAAUCACUCACACAUUUCAUGCAUUUUUUUCGUUCUUCAGUUCAUACACUUUCAAAAGCUU